This is a non-coding RNA of Phascolarctos cinereus (koala), 69 nucleotides long. The record is from Ensembl. NCBI's taxonomy places the organism in Eukaryota, Metazoa, Chordata, Mammalia, Diprotodontia, Phascolarctidae.
CAAAAUGUAGCUUAAACAAAAGCAUUUAGCCUACACCUAAAAGACUUCAGCUUACCCUGACCAUUUUGA